UACAGAGGUCCCGAGCGUUGUUCGGAUUCACUGGGCGUAAAGGGUGCGUAGGUGGUGAGGUAAGUCGGAUGUGAAAUCUCCGGGCUCAACCCGGAAAUGGCAUUGGAAACUACCUUGCUAGAGGAUUUGAGGGGGGAUUGGAAUACUUGGUGUAGCAGUGAAAUGCGUAGAUAUCAAGUGGAACACCGAUGGCGAAGGCAGGUCACUGGGCCGCAACUGACGCUGAGGAGCGAAAGCAUGGGGAGCGAACAGG
This 253-nucleotide ribosomal RNA is filed under the name uncultured bacterium. Its description in RNAcentral is "partial 16S ribosomal RNA". It matches the Rfam family "Bacterial small subunit ribosomal RNA", at positions 524 to 776 of the family's 1533-position model. The record is from RNAcentral.